UCUGAUCCAGCCAUGCCGCGUGCAGGAAGACGGCCCUAUGGGUUGUAAACUGCUUUUAUAUAGGAAGAAACCUUUUCACGUGUGGAWAGCUGACGGUACURUAUGAAUAAGSACCGGCUAACUCCGUGCCAGCAGCCGCGGUAAUACGGAGGGUGCAAGCKUUAUCCGGAAUCAUUGGGUUUAAAGGGUCCGUAGGCGGACUAAUAAGUCAGGGGUGAAAUCCAACAGCUUAACUGUUGAACUGCCUUUGAUACUGUUAGUCUUGAAUUAUAUGGAAGUAGAUAGAAUGUGUAGUGUAGCGGUGAAAUGCUUAGAGAUUACACAGAAUACCGAUUGCGAAGGCAGUCUACUACGUAUAUAUUGACGCUAAUGGACGAAAGCGUGGGGAGCGAACAGGAUUAGAUACCCUGGUAGUCCACKCCGUAAACGAUGGACACUAGUUGUUGGAUUUAUUCAGUGACUAAGCGAAAGUGAUAAGUUCC
Molecule: ribosomal RNA, 482 nt
Filed under: uncultured Bacteroidota bacterium
Lineage: Bacteria; Pseudomonadati; Bacteroidota
Description: bacterial SSU rRNA
Rfam family: Bacterial small subunit ribosomal RNA
Source: RNAcentral